UACGUAGGGUGCGAGCGUUAAUCGGAAUUACUGGGCGUAAAGCGUGCGCAGGCGGUUUUGUAAGCCAGAUGUGAAAGCCCCGGGCUCAACCUGGGAAUGGCAUUUGGGACUGCAAGGCUGGAGUUUGGCAGAGGAGACUGGAAUUCCCGGUGUAGCGGUGAAAUGCGUAGAUAUCUGGAGGAACACCGGUGGCGAAGGCGGCGUCCUGGACCAACACUGACACUGAUGAGCGAAAGCCAGGGGAGCAAACGGG
This 253-nucleotide ribosomal RNA is filed under the name uncultured bacterium. RNAcentral describes it as "partial 16S ribosomal RNA". It matches the Rfam family "Bacterial small subunit ribosomal RNA", at positions 524 to 776 of the family's 1533-position model. The record is from RNAcentral.